RNAcentral lists this ribosomal RNA (489 nucleotides) under uncultured bacterium. RNAcentral's name for it is "bacterial SSU rRNA". It matches the Rfam family "Bacterial small subunit ribosomal RNA", at positions 30 to 511 of the family's 1533-position model. The record is from RNAcentral.
AUUGAACGCUGGCGGCAGGCCUAACACAUGCAAGUCGAGCGGAUGAGUGGAGCUUGCUCCAUGAUUCAGCGGCGGACGGGUGAGUAAUGCCUAGGAAUCUGCCUGGUAGUGGGGGACAACGUUUCGAAAGGAACGCUAAUACCGCAUACGUCCUACGGGAGAAAGCAGGGGACCUUCGGGCCUUGCGUUAUCAGAUGAGCCUAGGUCGGAUUAGCUAGUAGGUGAGGUAAUGGCUCACCUAGGCGACGAUCCGUAACUGGUCUGAGAGGAUGAUCAGUCACACUGGAACUGAGACACGGUCCAGACUCCUACGGGAGGCAGCAGUGGGGAAUAUUGGACAAUGGGCGAAAGCCUGAUCCAGCCAUGCCGCGUGUGUGAAGAAGGUCUUCGGAUUGUAAAGCACUUUAAGUUGGGAGGAAGGGCAGUAAGUUAAUAACCUUGCUGUUUUGACGUUACCAACAGAAUAAGCACCGGCUAACUUCGUGCCAG